CCUANGGGUGGCUGCAGUCGAGAAUCUUUUGCAAUGCUCGAAAGAGUGACAAUGCGACGCCGCGUGUGCGAUGAAGGUCUUCGGAUCGUAAAGCACUGUCAGUCGGGAUGAAGGUCUUUUCCUUUAAUAAAGGAGAAGGCUUGACAGUACCGGCAGAGGAAGCCACGGCUAACUCCGUGCCAGCAGCCGCGGUAAUACGGAGGUGGCAAGCGUUACUCGGAUUGAUUGGGUGUAAAGGGCGUGUAGGUGGUAAAUCAAGUCGAAUGUGAAAUCCCUUGGCUCAACCAAGGAACUGCAUUCGAAACUAAUUUGCUUGAGCGACAGAGAGGUAAGUGGAAUUCCCGGUGUAACAGUGAAAUGUGUAGAUAUCGGGAGGAACACCAGUGGCGAAGGCGACUUACUGGAUGUCUGCUGACACUGAAACGCGAGAGCUAGGGGAGCAAACAGGAUUAGAUACCCCANUANUC
RNAcentral lists this ribosomal RNA (467 nucleotides) under uncultured bacterium. RNAcentral describes it as "bacterial SSU rRNA". It matches the Rfam family "Bacterial small subunit ribosomal RNA", at positions 338 to 795 of the family's 1533-position model. The record is from RNAcentral.